This 873-nucleotide ribosomal RNA is filed under the name uncultured bacterium. Its description in RNAcentral is "bacterial SSU rRNA". It matches the Rfam family "Bacterial small subunit ribosomal RNA", at positions 8 to 837 of the family's 1533-position model. The record is from RNAcentral.
AGAGUUUGAUCAUGGCUCAGGAUGCACGCUGGCGGCGUGCCUAAUACAUGCAAGUCGAACGCUUUGUGCUGAAUUGAUAUGACGAGCUUGCUCUGAUUUGAUUUUUUGAUUUCAAAGAGUGGCGAACGGGUGAGUAACACGUGGGUAACCUACCUCUUAGCAGGGGAUAACAUUUGGAAACAAGUGCUAAUACCGUAUAAUACCAACAACCGCAUGGUUGUUGGUUGAAAGAUGGUUCUGCUAUCACUAAGAGAUGGACCCGCGGUGCAUUAGCUAGUUGGUAAGGUAAUGGCUUACCAAGGCAAUGAUGCAUAGCCGAGUUGAGAGACUGAUCGGCCACAAUGGGACUGAGACACGGCCCAUACUCCUACGGGAGGCAGCAGUAGGGAAUCUUCCACAAUGGGCGCAAGCCUGAUGGAGCAACGCCGCGUGUGUGAUGAAGGGUUUCGGCUCGUAAAACACUGUUAUAAGAGAAGAACGGCACUGAGAGUAACUGUUCAGUGUGUGACGGUAUCUUACCAGAAAGGAACGGCUAAAUACGUGCCAGCAGCCGCGGUAAUACGUAUGUUCCAAGCGUUAUCCGGAUUUAUUGGGCGUAAAGCGAGCGCAGACGGUUAUUUAAGUCUGAAGUGAAAGCCCUCAGCUCAACUGAGGAAUUGCUUUGGAAACUGGAUGACUUGAGUGCAGUAGAGGAAAGUGGAACUCCAUGUGUAGCGGUGAAAUGCGUAGAUAUAUGGAAGAACACCAGUGGCGAAGGCGGCUUUCUGGACUGUAACUGACGUUGAGGCUCGAAAGUGUGGGUAGCAAACAGGAUUAGAUACCCUGGUAGUCCACACCGUAAACGAUGAGUGCUAGAUGUUCGAGGGUUUCCGC